Strongylocentrotus purpuratus (purple sea urchin) is the source of this 174-nucleotide long non-coding RNA. RefSeq lists it as uncharacterized. The record is from RefSeq and is a predicted model, not a curated record. NCBI's taxonomy places the organism in Eukaryota, Metazoa, Echinodermata, Echinoidea, Camarodonta, Strongylocentrotidae. The transcript has 2 exons.
AUCAAUUCAGGAGCUGAUCUCGCCCGCAACAAGCUGCUUUCAGAACCUUCUCACCAGAUUGAAUAGCCUUUCACAUAUUGCAGGCUGCUUCCCAAGCUAAACUAGUCAAGAUGAUGAUCAAAGUAGCUCUUGUGCUCUGUGCUAUUGUGGCAACCAGUAUGGUGUGCGCCAAAA